GAUGAACGCUGGCGGCGUGCCUAAUACAUGCAAGUCGAGCGGACGGACGAGGAGCUUGCGUCUCUGAUGUUAGCGGCGGACGGGUGAGUAACACGUGUAUAACCUACCUAUCAGACUGGGAUAACUUCGGGAAACCGGAGCUAAUAGCGGAGGAUCUUUUGCAGCGCGGGGGGCAAAGGAGAGAGACGGCGUUGGGGUCACGUAUCGCUGGAUCUGCGCUGCAUUAGAUGGUUGGGAAGGUAAAGGCUUACGAAGGCAACGAUGCAUAGCCGACCUGAGAGGGUGAUCGGCCACACUGGAACUGAGACACGGUCCAGGCGCCUACGGGACGCAGCAGUCUGCAACGUGCCGCAGUGGGCGGAAGCCUGACGGAGCAAGCCCGCGUGAGUGAUGAAGGUCUUCGGAUCGUAAUACUCUGUUUUUAGUGAAGAACAUAUGUGUAAUUAGCUGUGCACAUCGUGACGGUACCGAAUCAGAAAGCCACGGCUAACUACGUG
This 497-nucleotide ribosomal RNA is filed under the name uncultured bacterium. RNAcentral describes it as "partial 16S ribosomal RNA". It matches the Rfam family "Bacterial small subunit ribosomal RNA", at positions 28 to 507 of the family's 1533-position model. The record is from RNAcentral.